RNAcentral lists this ribosomal RNA (391 nucleotides) under Taira sp. CL003. RNAcentral describes it as "partial 16S ribosomal RNA". The record is from RNAcentral. Lineage: Eukaryota; Metazoa; Arthropoda; Arachnida; Araneae; Amaurobiidae.
CUCAAUGAACUUUAAAUAGCCGCAAUUAAACUGUGCUAAGGUAGCAUAAUCAUUUGUUUUUUAAUUUAAGACUAGAAUAAAAGAUUUAACAUUUAAUUAAUUUUUUUAAACUUAAUUAUUUAAUUUAUUCCAAAUAUAAAAAAAUAUUUAUAAAAAAAAAAGACAAUAAGACCCUAUUAAACUUCACUAUAGUUUAACUGGGGAAGUUAAUUAAUUAAUAUUUUAAUAUAUAUACUAAAAACUUUCCAAUAAAAUUGAAACAAAUAAGUUACUAUAGGGAUAACAGCGUAAUUUUUUUUAAAAGAUCUUAUUUAAAAACAAGUUUACGACCUCGAUGUUGAAUUAAUUUUCUUAAAAAUGCAAUUAUUUCAAAAGUAAGUCUGUUCGACUU